UACGGAGGGGGCGAGCGUUAUUCGGAAUUAUUGGGCGUAAAGGGCGCGUAGGCGGCCUGGCAAGUUGAAGGUGAAAUCCCUCGGCUUAACCGAGGAACUGCCCUCCAAACUGCUUGGCUUGAGUCCGGGAGAGGUGAGUGGAAUUCCCAGUGUAGCGGUGAAAUGCGUAGAUAUUGGGAGGAACACCAGUGGCGAAGGCGGCUCACUGGACCGGAACUGACGCUGAGGCGCGAAAGCGUGGGGAGCAAACGGG
This 253-nucleotide ribosomal RNA is filed under the name uncultured bacterium. RNAcentral describes it as "partial 16S ribosomal RNA". It matches the Rfam family "Bacterial small subunit ribosomal RNA", at positions 524 to 776 of the family's 1533-position model. The record is from RNAcentral.